CACGGGGGGAGCAAGCGUUGUUCGGAAUCACUGGGCGUAAAGGGCGUGUAGGCGGUCAGGUUAGUGAGAUGUGAAACGCCCCGGCUCACCCGGGGACCUGCAUCUCAAACUGCCUGGCUUGAGUAUGGGAGAGGAUGAGGGAAUUCCUGGUGUAGCGGUGAAAUGCGUAGAUAUCAGGAGGAACACCGGUGGCGAAAGCGCUCAUCUGGCCCAAUACUGACGCUGAGGCGCGAAAGCUAGGGGAGCAAACGGG
Molecule: ribosomal RNA, 253 nt
Filed under: uncultured bacterium
Lineage: Bacteria
Description: partial 16S ribosomal RNA
Rfam family: Bacterial small subunit ribosomal RNA
Source: RNAcentral